RNAcentral lists this ribosomal RNA (467 nucleotides) under uncultured bacterium. RNAcentral's name for it is "partial 16S ribosomal RNA". It matches the Rfam family "Bacterial small subunit ribosomal RNA", at positions 28 to 506 of the family's 1533-position model. The record is from RNAcentral.
GACGAACGCUGGCGGCGUGCUUAACACAUGCAAGUCGAACGGAAAGGCCCUGCUUUUGUGGGGUGCUCGAGUGGCGAACGGGUGAGUAACACGUGAGUAACCUGCCCUUGACUUUGGGAUAACUUCAGGAAACUGGGGCUAAUACCGGAUAGGAGCUCCUGCUGCAUGGUGGGGGUUGGAAAGUUUCGGCGGUUGGGGAUGGACUCGCGGCUUAUCAGCUUGUUGGUGGGGUAGUGGCUUACCAAGGCUUUGACGGGUAGCCGGCCUGGGAGGGUGACCGGCCACAUUGGGACGGAGAUACGGCCCGGACGCCUACGGGAGGCAGCAGUGGGGAAUAUUGCACAAUGGGCGGAAGCCUGAUGCAGCAACGCCGCGUGCGGGAUGACGGCCUUCGGGUUGUAAACCGCUUUCGCCUGUGACGAAGCGUGAGUGACGGUAAUGGGUAAAGAAGCACCGGCUAACUACGU